Molecule: ribosomal RNA, 117 nt
Filed under: Scophthalmus maximus (turbot)
Lineage: Eukaryota; Metazoa; Chordata; Actinopteri; Pleuronectiformes; Scophthalmidae
Source: RNAcentral
GCUUACGGCCACAGCCUGGUUCACACCGAUCUCGUUUGAUCUCGGAAGCUAAGAUAGGUUGGGCCUGGUUAGUACUUUGGAUGGGAGACCGCCUAGGAAUACCAGGUGCUGUAAACG